This 559-nucleotide ribosomal RNA is filed under the name uncultured bacterium. Its description in RNAcentral is "bacterial SSU rRNA". It matches the Rfam family "Bacterial small subunit ribosomal RNA", at positions 355 to 896 of the family's 1533-position model. The record is from RNAcentral.
UAGGGAAUCUUCCNNANNGGACGCNNGUCUGACGGAGCAACGCCGCGUGAGUNCAGNAGGUUUUCGGAUCGUAAAACUCUGUUGUUAGAGAAGAACAAGUGCUAGAGUAACUGUUAGCGCCUUGACGGUAUCUAACCAGAAAGCCACGGCUAACUACGUGCCAGCAGCCGCGGUAAUACGUAGGUGGCAAGCGUUGUCCGGAUUUAUUGGGCGUAAAGCGAGCGCAGGCGGNUCCUUAAGUCUGAUGUGAAAAGCCCCCGGCUCAACCGGGGAGGGUCAUUGGAAACUGGGGAAUUUGAGUGCAGAAGAGGGAGAGUGGAAUUCCAUGUGUAGCGGGUGAAAUGCGUAGAUAUAUGGAGGAACACCAGUGGCGAAGGCGACUCUCUGGGUCUGUAACUGACGCUGAGGCUCGAAAAGCGUGGGUAGCAAACAGGAUUAGAUACCCUGGUAGUCCCACGCCGUAAACGAUGAGUGCUAAGUGUUGGGGGGGGUUUCCGCCCUUCAGUGCUGCAGUUAACGCAUUAAGCACUCCCGCCUGGGGAGUACGACCGCAAGGUUG